This is a long non-coding RNA of Spinacia oleracea (spinach), 578 nucleotides long. RefSeq lists it as uncharacterized. The transcript has 3 exons. The record is from RefSeq and is a predicted model, not a curated record. Lineage: Eukaryota; Viridiplantae; Streptophyta; Magnoliopsida; Caryophyllales; Amaranthaceae.
UCAGAUUCAUGAAGUUUUACUCAACUUCCAGGGCAUACCAAGUUGUGCUCAACAAGUCGGCGCCCGCGAGUGUGGCUAUUACGUUAUGAAGUUCAUGCAUGAAAUAGUCACGUUACACCAUAACUCUGAUGAGCGGUUAGAUAAUGCUUACACUCCAAGAAAUGCGCCUUAUACCGAUGAGGAAAUAGAUGUGGUUCGUGAGCAAUGGGCUAAGUUUUUUACAACCGAGUAUUUAUUUACUUAGGUUGUUUAGACACAAAGAUGGAAGCGUUUAUAUCUUCAUGGAUUUGGUAAAGUUCUUUAAUUUUUCCAUAAUUACAAGUCUGCUGGAUUUGCUAAUUUAUUGCUUUGAAUACUAAUAUGCUGGUCUUGCUGCUGCUGUGAAUCUAUUGAUGUGUAUGAAUAUUAUGCUAUUAAUGACUGCUGCAAUUCUGCUUGCUGCUGUGUGUUUCUCCUAUGUUUGCUUCUGUUGCUGCUCUGUAUGUAAUCAUUUGGCCUAUUUGGGAAAUUCUUCAAAGCUUGAACCAGUUUGCUGCUGCCCGUUUUAACAACUAUGUUAUCCACCUGAUGUUGCCUAG